RNAcentral lists this ribosomal RNA (253 nucleotides) under uncultured bacterium. RNAcentral's name for it is "partial 16S ribosomal RNA". It matches the Rfam family "Bacterial small subunit ribosomal RNA", at positions 524 to 776 of the family's 1533-position model. The record is from RNAcentral.
GACAGAGGUGGCAAGCGUUGUUCGGAUUUACUGGGCGUAAAGAGUGCGUAGGUGGUGAGGUAAGACCUGUGGGAAAGACCUGGGCUUAACCCAGGAAGGUCGCAGGUGACUGCCUCGCUUGAGGACGGGAGAGGAGAGCGGAAUUCCCGGUGUAGCGGUGAAAUGCGUAGAGAUGUGGAGGAACACCGAUGGCGAAGGCAGCCCCCUGGGCUGACACUGACGCUCAGGCACGAAAGCGUGGGGAGCAAACAGG